This is a long non-coding RNA of Oncorhynchus tshawytscha (Chinook salmon), 2154 nucleotides long. RefSeq lists it as uncharacterized. The transcript is spliced from 3 exons. Lineage: Eukaryota; Metazoa; Chordata; Actinopteri; Salmoniformes; Salmonidae. The record is from RefSeq and is a predicted model, not a curated record.
UUAGAGCCCGGAGGUUACUAUGAGACAGGGCUGACCUUCUGAUUGGAGUUUACAUCAUAGGUAGAGCCCUUUAGAGCCCGGAGGUUACUAUGAGACAGGGCUGACCUUCUGAUUGGAGUUUACAUCAUAGGUAGAGCCCUUUAGAGCCCGGAGGUUACUAUGAGACAGGGCUGACCUUCUGAUUGGAGUUUACAUCAUAGGUAGAGCCCUUUAGAGCCCGGAGGUUACUAUGAGACAGGGCUGACCUUCUGAUUGGAGUUUACAUCAUAGGUAGAGCCCUUUAGAGCCCGGAGGUUACUAUGAGACAGGGCUGACCUUCUGAUUGGAGUUUACAUCAUAGGUAGAGCCCUUUAGAGCACGGAGGUUACUAUGAGACAGGGCUGAACUUCUGAUUGGAGUUUACAUCAUAGGUAGAGCCCUUUAGAGCCCGGAGGUUACUAUGAGACAGGGCUGACCUUCUGAUUGGAGUUUACAUCAUAGGUUCAGCCCUUUAGAGCCCGGAGGUUACUAUGAGACAGGGUUGACCUUCUGAUUGGAGUUUACAUCAUAGGUAGAGCUCGGAGGUUACUAUGAGACAGGGUUGACCUUCUGAUUGGAGUUUACAUCAUAGGUAGAGCCCGGAGGUUACUAUGAGACGGGGCUGACCUUCUGAUUGGAGUUUACAUCAUAGGUAGAGCCCUUUAGAGCCCGGAGGUUACUAUGAGACAGGGUUGACCUUCUGAUUGGAGUUUACAUCAUAGGUAGAGCCCGGAGGUUACUAUGAGACAGGGCUGACCUUCUGAUUGGAGUUUACAUCAUAGGUAGAGCCCGGAGGUUACUAUGAGACAGGGCUGACCUUCUGAUUGGAGUUUACAUCAUAGGUAGAGCCCUUUAGAGCCCGGAGGUUACUAUGAGACAGGGCUGACCUUCUGAUUGGAGUUUACAUCAUAGGUAGAGCCCGGAGGUUACUAUGAGACAGGGUUGACCUUCUGAUUGGAGUUUACAUCAUAGGUAGAGCCCGGAGGUUACUAUGAGACAGGGCUGACCUUCUGAUUGGAGUUUACAUCAUAGGUAGAGCCCGGAGGUUACUAUGAGACAGGGCUGACCUUCUGAUUGGAGUUUACAUCAUAGGUAGAGCCCGGAGGUUACUAUGAGACAGGGCUGACCUUCUGAUUGGAGUUUACAUCAUAGGUAGAGCCCAGAGGUUACUAUGAGACAGGGUUGACCUUCUGAUUGGAGUUUACAUCAUAGGUAGAGCCCGGAGGUUACUAUGAGACAGGGCUGACCUUCUGAUUGGAGUUUACAUCAUAGGUAGAGCCCUUUAGAGCCCGGAGGUUACUAUGAGACAGGGUUGACCUUCUGAUUGGAGUUUACAUCAUAGGUAGAGCCCGGAGGUUACUAUGAGACAGGGUUGACCUUCUGAUUGGAGUUUACAUCAUAGGUAGAGCCCAGAGGUUACUAUGAGACAGGGCUGACCUUCUGAUUGGAGUUUACAUCAUAGGUUCAGCCCUUUAGAGCCCGGAGGUUACUAUGAGACAGGGUUGACCUUCUGAUUGGAGUUUACAUCAUAGGUAGAACCCAGAGGUUACUAUGAGACAGGGUUGACCUUCUGAUUGGAGUUUACAUCAUAGGUAGAGCCCGGAGGUUACUAUGAGACAGGGCUGACCUUCUGAUUGGAGUUUACAUCAUAGGUAGAGCCCGGAGGUUACUAUGAGACAGGGCUGACCUUCUGAUUGGAGUUUACAUCAUAGGUAGAGCCCGGAGGUUACUAUGAGACAGGGUUGACAUUCUGAUUGGAGUUUACAUCAUAGGUUCAGCCCUUUAGAGCCCGGAGGUUACUAUGAGACAGGGUUGACCUUCUGAUUGGAGUUUACAUCAUAGGUAGAGCCCGGAGGUUACUAUGAGACAGGGCUGACCUUCUGAUUGGAGUUUACAUCAUAGGUAGAGCCCGGAGGUUACUAUGAGACAGGGCUGACCUUCUGAUUGGAGUUAUCAUGAGUGGUGGAGGAGGAAUCAUUAUAUUGACGUUGGUCUUCUAUCUGGUGAGUCGAUAUGUUGAUGGGAAGUAGAAUAACAUCAUCUGCUGACUAACUGUGUGAGAGAGUUUAUACAGCCGCCCUCUCUCUCUCCCACACCCUCCCGCCCUCUCUCACACGCUCCCCCACCCCUCUUUCC